AGUUACACACAGUUUAGAGAUCUGUGAAGUUUCUGUCUUAUUUUGUCUCUGCCACUUCAGGUGGGAACCUAUUUAUGACCCAUGUUUCCUAUGAUGGAUUUAGGUGAUGUGCCACCUCUCUUCAUCAUGCUGAGACAGUUUGCAUUUCCUGGCUAAGAUAAAGCUAAAGCUAAAGCUAACGCUAACGCUAACGCUAACGCUAAAGCUAAAGCUACUUCCUGUCAGGAGUUAUUUCUCUGGCCUAGUUCUGUAGCUCAGUUUUUUUUUUUUUGUUCUUUUUCCACCAGUGCCAUCCUGUGUUUGUGCAGCUAAGAAGGACACAUUUGCCCCUGCAGGAGCCAUGUUUAUUGGCCCUGUCUGACCGUGACGUUCCAUUCUCCUGGGAGCGGCGAGGUGGAGGCUAAGUGCUGUCAAAGCCUCUGACAACAGCAUCACCUGUAACCACUGGCAACCCUGCUUUUCUCUGAAAGUGAUGGAGCUGCAAAAAGGCACAACAAUUACCAAGAGCAGCCUCCUUCUCGGUGUCUGUGACAGUGGCUCCUCGGCUCCUGUGCUGUUGUCCUGGGUGACAUGAAUUAAUGAUAACAGCAGAGACAUCACAGACCAGACUCCAUUACACAGACCAGGAAGGUCUGCUGCAGAUCUGCAGAGAUAAAAUAUAACGAUGGCUCUACGGCCGCAUGGCAGGUGUGGAUCUGCAAAUCAUCUCCCCAGUGACAUUAGGCAGCAAGAAGGUGUGAUGUGUAGCUGCUAAUACCAAUUCAUCUGUAUCAACACUUCAGGGAAAACCCAGCUGACGGCCCCACUCACCGACACCUUCACCUGCAUGUUCCUUUUAAUGUAUUUUGGAAAACCCCUGAGUGGAUGUUGCAUCUGACAAAGGCUUGACUCAGGACAUGGAGGAAAUCAUCGACUGUGACUUGAAGCAAAAGUCCAUGGAGCAGAAUUUGACCAACUAACCAUUGAUAUUCCACUCUGGUGACCACUGAUGAUGGAUUAUAUGACUCCAUCCACCCCUGUCUGCUCCUUCACUGGUGUAUCAACCAUCCUAAUGUCUGGUAUCUGGCUUUUACUAAUUUUCUUAUUUUCCACUUUUUAUCAUGUUCAGAGCUGAGAGCUUCAGAUCCCUGCUCUACGGUAAUCCUUCACCAAUCUGAAUUUGGUCAUUGGUCUGGUAAAUGACUUGUAACCUGAUGUAUUUGCUGACACUACACUUACCAACCUUCACUUGAAGGACAGUGAAAGUGACCGCACUUGUACCUGGGUUAUAAAAUGGCAUGUAGUGUAAAAUGAAAAAGAAGAAUCACUUUCUCCAGUUGUCUACGUCAGGGGUCGUCACAGAGGGUAAACCCAACCACACUCUGUCCUCCCUAAUGCAGCCCUCCAGAUUUAUCUGGCUUCAGGACUUGCUUUAAGUGGCUGUGAAAAUAAUGGGAUACCGCCGAACCCACUGACCUACGACUUCCACUUCAGACGUAUUUCUGAACUGUAAGCAGAGACAAAAGAGAUGACACAACAACAGGGAUUUCCUACAGUAUUGACACACUUGAAAUAAACAGAGAAAACAGUACUACAGUAUAUCUAAGUAUUUGGUGUGAUGUAAAACAUGCUGUGGGCAGUACCAGACCAUGAUUUAUAGCAGUGUGGGAAAUACAUCACACUUGAUGGAAAUGAUAAAUUGCAUGCUAUAUUCUUGGUAGUGAAUGAAUACACUGGGGAGUGAGUUAAUACAUCGGUGUCAUAGUGCACUGUGCGUUCAGUACCGGUCAAUAAGUUUUCCGUGUACGGAUUUUCCUUAUGCAGUGUAAACCAUCUUUAUACAAUGUCUUUGAGACUCAGCAGCAGCAGUGGCAUCAGCAGCAGCAGGAGCA
Long non-coding RNA from Cynoglossus semilaevis (tongue sole), 1871 nucleotides. RefSeq lists it as uncharacterized. Lineage: Eukaryota; Metazoa; Chordata; Actinopteri; Pleuronectiformes; Cynoglossidae. The transcript has 8 exons. The record is from RefSeq and is a predicted model, not a curated record.